Molecule: non-coding RNA, 1518 nt
Organism: Sus scrofa (pig)
Lineage: Eukaryota; Metazoa; Chordata; Mammalia; Artiodactyla; Suidae
Source: RefSeq, a predicted model, not a curated record
AAGGAGGACGAAUUCCUUCAGCCUGGGCUCAAUGGACCAAGACCAGCAGGGAGGGUUUGAUACUCUCUUUUUGAUGUUUUACUUUGGAAAUAAAUAGAAAUCAUUCACGUCUGUUUCUCUCACUUCCUUCCAGUUCCCUGCAGUACUGAAUGUCCUGGGACUCUGAACUAUAACUCAGCAAGGGGGCCAUGCAGCCAGUCUGGCUCUUGAUAUUCCCAGUUUCACUUCAGUUUACACUUUCAGGGGCCCUUGAACUUCUUGUUUUCCAAGCUCUGCUUUCGUCCCACUUCUGAGCAAAAUGUUAUGAAUCGAUAAAAGCCCCUUGAAUUUUCCCUGUAUUAAGAAUUCCUUACUCUUUGAAUUUGGCAGUGUGCUGACAAAGAAGAUUUUUGUGUUUGAGUAGCAUUUGCUCCAGGCAGAUUGGUACCCUGUGUAUAUGACCUCUGUUACACUGUAGUUGAUUGACACAUGAGUAGGAUGAAGAAGUCCUGUGCUUUUUAGUGGUCCUUGUAUUUGCUGAAUGUAAUCAUAUAGUUUUUUUUUUUUUUUUUGUUCUGACUUUCAAAUAUGGUAUUUCCCAUUUUGUGAACUUUCAUUCUGACUAAUGAUUUCCUCUAAUAUCUUUUUAUCUCCCCAUUAUCCAGCUCUAUGAAUGUGCACACACUGAAAACUGAUUCUCAAGUCCUCAAGACCACACCCAAGAGGUUCAUGUUGUUUUGUAUACAGACUGUGAAAUAAAUAAAAGACAGCUUCUGCAUUUGAUAACCUUGAAGUUCUCAGAGUAUGUUUCCUUCCAAGGCUGGCAUGAAAGAAGCCGGAGACCCAUGCAGAUGAAUGGGAUGCUGAGAUUUCAAUACAACUUUUAUUGUGGACACUGAAAUUUGAAUUACUCAUGUUUUUUGUGUGUCUCAAAAAUAUUCUUCUGAUUUUUUCCGACAACUUGGAGGAGUAAAACAUUCCUAGCUUGUGGCUGGUACAAAACGUGAGGUCCACUGUUACUUGCUGAGCCGUAGGAUCAAGGCUUUUGUGGCAUCAGAUGUUGAAUUUAUGCUAUUUAGGGAUAUGUCCCAUUAUUGAUUUGAAUGGGGCAUUAAGUAAUAAUAUCAGUAUCACUGAAGUAUCAGAUAAUUGCACUGCUAUAUUGAUAAGACCUUGAUUUUCUGCCACAUGUAGCCAAAAUCUGCCAAAUUGCCGCAUUCUCUUAGAUUCUAAUUCCACAUAGUAGGGUGUGUUUUUUUUUUUUUUUUUUUUUUUUUUUUUAAGGGUUAAGUCUUUCAUACCUUACUUCUCUCCCUACCCAUUCCUCCAUUAAAAGAGACUCUUUUGUAGCCUGGUUCCAGAUCUUCUCUGACGUUGAAUAAAAAAGAGAAGGCCAUGGAGGCCCAGGAAGUAAAAGCCGGAGAAACUAGGCUGACUUACUGGUCAAAGACUGGAGAGUAAAAGCUUAUUUGCUUAUUAAAUAUUGGAGUUCUCAUUGUGGCUCAGCAGUUUACGAACCCAGCUAGUAUCUAUGAGGAU